GACGAACGCUGGCGGCGUGCUUAACACAUGCAAGUCGAACGGAAAUGUCCUGCUUUUGUGGGGUGCUCGAGUGGCGAACGGGUGAGUAACACGUGAGUAACCUGCCCUUGACUUUGGGAUAACUUCAGGAAACUGGGGCUAAUACCUGAUAGGAGCUCCUGCUGCUUGGUGGGGGUUGUAAAGUUUCGGCGGUUGGGGAUGGACUCGCGGCUUAUCAGCUUGUUGGUGGGGUAGUGGCUUACCAAGGCUUUGACGGGUAGCCGGCCUGAGAGGGUGACCGGCCACAUUGGGACUGAGAUACGGCCCAGACUCCUACGGGAGGCAGCAGUGGGGAAUAUUGCACAAUGGGCGGAAGCCUGAUGCAGCAACGCCGCGUGCGGGAUGACGGCCUUCGGGUUGUAAACCGCUUUCGCCUGUGACGAAGCGUGAGUGACGGUAAUGGGUAAAGAAGCACCGGCUAACUACGUG
This 468-nucleotide ribosomal RNA is filed under the name uncultured bacterium. Its description in RNAcentral is "partial 16S ribosomal RNA". It matches the Rfam family "Bacterial small subunit ribosomal RNA", at positions 28 to 507 of the family's 1533-position model. The record is from RNAcentral.